CGGAAGAAGAAGAAGAUACAGUCAGCCCGCCUUGCUUCGGCCCUCCGCAUCAGAAACGAGCCCUUCCCCAAAGGAUUCUCACUGCCACGAGACACUCCCAAGUACAGUGGCUCCGUGAAGCCGGAAGAUUGGUUGGCCGACUACUCCACCACCGUCAACAUAGCAAACAGCAACAAGCGUGUUGCCGUGAAGUACAUUCUGCUCAUGCUCCAGGGCACGACCCGGACGUGGCUGAACAACCUCAAGCCGCAUAGCGUCAACAUAUGGCUAGACUUCGCUGACGUUUUCAUCCGCAACUUCACCAGCACCUACAAGCGACCGCCCAAGCCUCGCCAACUCUCCUUAUGCAUCCAAGGCCCGACUGAGUCCACCCGUGACUAUCUGACACGUUGGGCGAGCUUCGCAACUCCUGCGAAGGGGUGCACGGGGUGCAUGCCAUAG
This 441-nucleotide ribosomal RNA is filed under the name Triticum aestivum (bread wheat). Its description in RNAcentral is "partial small subunit ribosomal RNA". Lineage: Eukaryota; Viridiplantae; Streptophyta; Magnoliopsida; Poales; Poaceae. The record is from RNAcentral.